Molecule: ribosomal RNA, 505 nt
Filed under: uncultured bacterium
Lineage: Bacteria
Description: bacterial SSU rRNA
Rfam family: Bacterial small subunit ribosomal RNA
Source: RNAcentral
GUCAGGAUGAACGCUAGCUACAGGCUAACACAUGCAAGUCGAGGGGCAGCAUGAUCUAAGCUUGCUAGAUUGAUGGCGACCGGCGCACGGGUGAGUAACGCGUAUCCAACCUUCCCUAUAGUAGAGGAUAGCCCGGCGAAAGUCGGAUUAAUACUCUAUGUUUUCCAAUGCAGACAUCUAAGUUGGAACAAAGGUUUACCGCUAUAGGAUGGGGAUGCGUCUGAUUAGAUAGUAGGCGGGGUAACGGCCCACCUAGUCUACGAUCAGUAGGGGUUCUGAGAGGAAGGUCCCCCACAUUGGAACUGAGACACGGUCCAAACUCCUACGGGAGGCAGCAGUGAGGAAUAUUGGUCAAUGGGCGAGAGCCUGAACCAGCCAAGUAGCCGUGCAGGAUGACGGCCCUAUGGGUUGUAAACUGCUUUUAUCGGGGGAUAAAGUGAGGGACGUGUCCCUUAUUGUAGGUACCCGAUGAAUAAGGACCGGCUAAUUCCGUGCCAGCCGCUGC